This 348-nucleotide unclassified non-coding RNA is filed under the name soil metagenome. RNAcentral's name for it is "partial contains 5.8S ribosomal RNA, internal transcribed spacer 2, and large subunit ribosomal RNA". The stretch from base 2 to 121 matches the Rfam family "5.8S ribosomal RNA", at positions 35 to 154 of the family's 154-position model. The record is from RNAcentral.
GGAUGAAGAACGUAGUGAAAUGCGAUAAUUAAUGUGAAUUGCAGAAUUCAGUGAAUCAUCGAGUCUUUGAACGCACAUUGCGCCCCCUGGUAUUCCGGGGGGCAUGCCUGUCCGAGCGUCAUUGCUGCCCUCAAGCACGGCUUGUGUGUUGGGCUUCCGUCCCUGGCAACGGGGACGGGCCCAAAAGGCAGUGGCGGCACCAUGUCUGGUCCUCGAGCGUAUGGGGCUUUGUCACCCGCUCCCGUAGGUCCAGCUGGCAGCUAGCCUCGCAACCAAUCUUUUUAACCAGGUUGACCUCGGAUCAGGUAGGGAUACCCGCUGAACUUAAGCAUAUCAAUAAGCGGAGGA